RNAcentral lists this ribosomal RNA (490 nucleotides) under uncultured bacterium. Its description in RNAcentral is "partial 16S ribosomal RNA". It matches the Rfam family "Bacterial small subunit ribosomal RNA", at positions 28 to 507 of the family's 1533-position model. The record is from RNAcentral.
GAUGAACGCUAGCGAUAGGCUUAACACAUGCAAGUCGAGGGGCAGCAUGGUCUUAGCUUGCUAAGACUGAUGGCGACCGGCGCACGGGUGCGUAACGCGUAUGCAACUUGCCUCACAGAGGGGGAUAACCCGUCGAAAGACGGACUAAUACCGCGUACACUCUAUUUUGGGCAUCCAAGGUAGAGGAAAUGAAAUUCGCUGUGAGAUAGGCAUGCGUCCCAUUAGCUAGUUGGUGAGGUAACGGCUCACCAAGGCGACGAUGGGUAGGGGAACUGAGAGGUUGAACCCCCACACUGGUACUGAGACACGGACCAGACUCCUACGGGAGGCAGCAGUGAGGAAUAUUGGUCAAUGGGCGAGGGCCUGAACCAGCCAAGUCGCGUGAAGGAUGACUGUCUUAUGGAUUGUAAACUUCUUUUGUAGGGGAAUAAAGAGGGGAACGUGUGCCCCAGUGAAUGUACCCUACGAAUAAGCAUCGGCUAACUCCGUG